UACAUAAUCAUUAGUCUUUUAAUUUGAGACUGGUAUGAAAGAGUAAACCAGGAGAAUUUUUUUUCAAUUGAAAAAAUGAAUUUAACUUUUUAGUAAGAAGGCUAAAAUAAAGCUUUUAGACAAGAAGACCCUAUAAAACUUUAUAUUUUUAUUUCUUAAAUGAAAGAAGAAGUAUUUUACUGGGGCGGUGGAGAAAAGUGACUUUCUUUAAUAUUAAGUGACAUACAUGUUUAAAUACCUAGAAUUUCUAAAUCAGGAAUAAGUUACUUUAGGGAUAACAGCUUAAUUUACUUAGAAAGAUCAAAUUGACAAGUGAGUUUAUGACCUCGAUGUUGAAUUAAAAGUCCUUUUUUGUGCAAAAGCUCUAAAA
Molecule: ribosomal RNA, 370 nt
Filed under: Androctonus mauritanicus
Lineage: Eukaryota; Metazoa; Arthropoda; Arachnida; Scorpiones; Buthidae
Description: partial 16S ribosomal RNA
Source: RNAcentral